AUAAAUCGUACAGACCCCAAAUUUCUGCAUUAGAAGUUGGCAGUAGAUUGCAUUAAUGGUUAAUGUAAUGUCACAUCACGACUUUUACAUAAAAUAAUAUGUAUUUGUGUAAUUGACAAAUGACAAAUGAUGUUGAAUUUUUUCAACAUCAAGAAUGUAGGUUAAAAUUUACAGCAUAGCUUGGUACCGAAGCUUACACAUAUGCGCCCAUUUCAUGCACUCUGUCAAUUAAUAUGUGGCCAUAAAACAGUGGGUAGUUUUAAAAUAGUUUUAGAUGAAGUAUGUCAAACUGCAGGACGCUGCGGUCACUGCUUGAAAUUUAUUCUCUGCUUGACUUCCUCUCUCAGAUCUUCUUCCUCCUUCCAUGGGGAUGGGAAGAGCUCCAGGGGAUUGGAGCAGACACCUGGCUCUCCAGAUUCCAGGCAAAGUCAUUUUGCAGAAGGAGACGGCUCGCCACGCAGCCCCUUCUGUACUGGAGUGGAGGAUCCCUUCAGCCAGACUGAGGAUGAACAGCAGGCUGUGCUGCCAUGGGAAUGCAGGUCGUUUCCCUUGCAGGAGUCAGAACUCAAGUGGCUGCAGGAGGAGGAAGAGGCGGAGCCCGAUGAGGACCCGUGCACCUCCAGCGGUCGCAGCCAAAGCACGGACUCAGGCAUCUCUGUGGGCAGCCUGGAGCUCUCCCCGAGGACCCCUCAACCCCCUCAGCAGCACUCAGGCACAGAGCAAGCCACCCCUCACACACUGCCCUGCAAACCAGCCACCCCGACGACAUUCUCUACAGCUCAGGAUUCUCCCAAACUUCCUCUUUCCUUGUACUCGUCCUCUCCGUUAUCAUAGCGCAUCAUUUGUCCAGCCGUUUUUCUGCUCUAAUACGAAAACAAAACCACAUGUCCCAAUGCCAUUGACCCUGUCAACCUAUUUAUCUAACCACGAGCACCUUGUGUCCUCAUUCCCUGAACCCUCUGGAGCCUUACAUAAACCACAGAGCCUAUUAUUUAUAAUCUUCCCUCAAACCCUCACCCACUCGCCCAAUAACAAGUGCAUCUCCACCAACAGCCCAGUUUCCCAAUUGAGCGUCUCUGGUCCUUCCUUAUACAUCCUUUCAACUCUUCUUCACCAGCCUGCCCCCGAUACAGCUGCCGUUCAAUCUGACGCUACUGUAAUGAACAGAUGGUGUUUUUCCAUUGUUUUUUCAUUUUUUGGACCUGCCUAAAGCUUUUUCUCCAGCUAUGUCAGUCAGUCAUUUUGCUUUUUAGUUAAAUCAUUGUUUAAAGCUCAAUGCUGUUUUCACAGAUCAAGAUGUUACGCCAACAAAGGGCGAGCCCAAAUUGAAAGCUCUUGGAUAUUAAUCUCCAUACAAAGGCACUACAUAUUACCCUCAUUUUCUGUGACUUAGUUACCUUAUUCAUGUGUUGUAUUGUAUGUAUUCCG
RNAcentral lists this long non-coding RNA (1428 nucleotides) under Sinocyclocheilus grahami. RNAcentral's name for it is "lncRNA (ENSSGRG00000005019.1)". Lineage: Eukaryota; Metazoa; Chordata; Actinopteri; Cypriniformes; Cyprinidae. The record is from RNAcentral.